AUCCGUCAAGGUGUGUGAAAGAAAGGGGCCGGGCUCCGUAACGGCGUGGAGGGUGGCAGGGCACGCUGGGUCCUUUCGGCAUGGAAGGAGAAAGUAUAGCGUGAAUAUUGGCCUCUGCUGAAUGUGCUGGCACUGUACUCUCUCGCAUAACCACAUUCAGCUGCACUGCUGCGAAUGAGUCCUCUCUGAACAGAAGUGCAAUAGCGAAGGACUGGACAGCCUUGUUCUGGAUGACAGGUGUGCUGAAUUGCCUCGUUUUAUCCUGGCCUCUUUCCUGGCAUCGCUGAGAGGAUUUGGGCCUAGAGUGCAGCUCUUGAAUUCUGAGGUGAAAGGAAACUACAGCUCGAAAAAAAAAAAACAAAAAAAAAAAA
This is a long non-coding RNA of Anguilla anguilla (European eel), 371 nucleotides long. RefSeq lists it as uncharacterized. NCBI's taxonomy places the organism in Eukaryota, Metazoa, Chordata, Actinopteri, Anguilliformes, Anguillidae. The record is from RefSeq and is a predicted model, not a curated record. The transcript is spliced from 2 exons.